This 193-nucleotide small nucleolar RNA is filed under the name Galleria mellonella (greater wax moth). Its description in RNAcentral is "Small nucleolar RNA U3". It matches the Rfam family "Small nucleolar RNA U3". Rfam says of the family: Small nucleolar RNAs (snoRNAs) are involved in the processing and modification of rRNA in the nucleolus. There are two main classes of snoRNAs: the box C/D class, and the box H/ACA class. The record is from Rfam by way of RNAcentral. Lineage: Eukaryota; Metazoa; Arthropoda; Insecta; Lepidoptera; Pyralidae.
AAGACCUUACUUCAUAUGAUCAUUUCUAUAGUAAGUUCUUCAUCCAUAAAUUCGCAAUAUGUAAAGGCGCACAAACCAUGAUGAGAAGAUGUGGCGCGGUACUCUGAGCAUGUGAUGAACGGUGAUGGUCCACUGUCAGCCUUCAAUGAUCGUUUCCUCCUUUCGGGGAAAGUGAGCAAUAUCGCUUUCAAAG